UACGAAGGGAGCGAGCGUUGUUCGGAAUCACUGGGCUUAAAGCGUGCGUAGGUGGAUUGGUAAGUAAGGAGUGAAAUCCCAGGGCUUAACCCUGGAACUGCUCUUUAGACUGCCUGUCUGGAAUUCGGAAGAGGUUGGUGGAACUCCCAGUGUAGAGGUGAAAUUCGCAGAUAUUGGGAAGAACACCGGUGGCGAAGGCGACCAACUGGUCCGACAUUGACACUGAGGCACGAAAGCGUGGGUAGCAAACAGG
This 253-nucleotide ribosomal RNA is filed under the name Alphaproteobacteria bacterium. RNAcentral describes it as "partial 16S ribosomal RNA". It matches the Rfam family "Bacterial small subunit ribosomal RNA", at positions 524 to 776 of the family's 1533-position model. The record is from RNAcentral. RNAcentral also lists the same sequence under 2 other names. Lineage: Bacteria; Pseudomonadati; Pseudomonadota; Alphaproteobacteria.